Molecule: ribosomal RNA, 398 nt
Filed under: uncultured bacterium
Lineage: Bacteria
Description: partial 16S ribosomal RNA
Rfam family: Bacterial small subunit ribosomal RNA
Source: RNAcentral
AAUAUUGCGCAAUGGGGGAAACCCUGACGCAGCGACUCCGCGUGAACGAUGACGGACUUCGGGUCGUCCCGUCCUGUCCUCAGGGAAGAAUAAAUGACGAUACCUGAGGAGGACGCCCCGGCUAACUACGUGCCAGCAGCCGCGGUAAUACGUAGGGGGCAAGCGUUGUCCGGAAUUAUUGGGCGUAAAGGGUGCGUAGGCGGCCUUUUAAGUCAGAUGUGAAAGACCACAGCUUAACUGUGGGAUUGCAUUUGAAACUGAAGGGCUUGAGUGUCGGAGAGGGUAGUGGAAUUCCCGGAGUAGCGGUGAAAUGCGUAGAUAUCGGGAGGAACACCAGUGGCGAAGGCGACUCUCUGGACUGCAACUGACGCUGAGGCACGAAAGCGUGGGGAGCGAAC